UGUGUAGGCGGAAUUGUAAGUACCUUGUGAAAUCCCACGGCUCAACCGUGGAACUGCUCGGUAUACUGCUUUUCUUGAGCCACUUAGGGGCUGUCGGAACAAACGGUGGAGCGGUGAAAUGCGUAGAUAUCGUUUGGAACGCCAAAGGUGAAAACAGACAGCUGGGAGUGUGCUGACGCUGAGACACGAAAGCCAGGGGAGCGAACGGGAUUAGAUACCCCGGUAGUCCUGGCCCUAAACGAUGUCGACUAGAUCGUGGUGGCUCUGACGCCAUCACGGUCGAAGCAAAAGUGCUAAGUCGACCGCCUGGGAAGUACGGUCGCAAGGCUAAA
This 332-nucleotide ribosomal RNA is filed under the name uncultured Planctomycetia bacterium. RNAcentral describes it as "bacterial SSU rRNA". It matches the Rfam family "Bacterial small subunit ribosomal RNA", at positions 568 to 898 of the family's 1533-position model. Lineage: Bacteria; Pseudomonadati; Planctomycetota; Planctomycetia. The record is from RNAcentral.